AAAGAGGGGGGACCUUCGGGCCUCUUGCCAUCAGAUGUGCCCAGAUGGGAUUAGCUAGGUUAGGUGGGGUAACGGCUCACCUAGGCCGGACGAUCCCUAGCUGGUCUGAGAGGAUGACCAGCCACACUGGAACUGAAGGACACGGUCCAGACUCCUACGGGAGGGCCAGCAGUGGGGAAUAUUGCACAAUGGGCGCAAGCCUGAUGCAGCCAUGGCCCGCGUGUAUGAAGAAGGCCUUCGGGUUUGUAAAGUACUUUCAGCGGGGAGGAAGGCGAUGCGGUUAAUAACCGCCGGUCGAUUGACGUUACCCGCAGAAGAAAGGCACCGGCUAACUCCGUGCCAGCAGCCGCGGUAAUACGGAGGGUGCAAAGGCGUUAAUCGGAAUUACUGGGCGUAAAAAGCGCACGCAGGCGGUCUGUCAAGUCGGAUGUGAAAUCCCCGGGCUCAAAACCUGGGAACUGCAUCCGAAACUGGCCAAGGCUUGAGUCUAGUAGAGGGGGGUAGAAUUCCAGGUGUAGCGGUGAA
This 525-nucleotide ribosomal RNA is filed under the name Kosakonia cowanii. RNAcentral describes it as "bacterial SSU rRNA". It matches the Rfam family "Bacterial small subunit ribosomal RNA", at positions 202 to 685 of the family's 1533-position model. The record is from RNAcentral. Lineage: Bacteria; Pseudomonadati; Pseudomonadota; Gammaproteobacteria; Enterobacterales; Enterobacteriaceae.